GACGAACGCUGGCGACGUGCUUAACACAUGCAAGUCGAACGGAAAGGCCCCUUUGGGGGUACUCGAGUGGCGAACGGGUGAGUAACACGUGAGUAACCUGCCCUUGACUUCGGGAUAACUUCAGGAAACUGGGGCUAAUACCGGAUAGGAAUCCUUGCUGCAUGGUGGGGGUUGGAAAGCUUCGGCGGUUUUGGAUGGACUGGCGGCUUAUCAGCUUGUUGGUGGGGUAGUGGCUUACCAAGGCUUUGACGGGUAGCCGGCCUGAGAGGGCGACCGGCCACAUUGGGACUGAGAUACGGCCCAGACUCCUACGGGAGGCAGCAGUGGGGAAUAUUGCACAAUGGGCGGAAGCCUGAUGCAGCAACGCCGCGUGCGGGAUGACGGCCUUCGGGUUGUAAACCGCUUUCAGCAGGGGCGAAGCUUGUGGUGACGGUACCUGCAGAAGAAGCACCGGCUAACUACGUG
Molecule: ribosomal RNA, 465 nt
Filed under: uncultured bacterium
Lineage: Bacteria
Description: partial 16S ribosomal RNA
Rfam family: Bacterial small subunit ribosomal RNA
Source: RNAcentral